UCAGGAAGCUGGCGAGCGACUUCUCUGGUCUGUAACUGACGCUGAUGUCGCGAAAGCGUGGGGAUCAAACAGGAUUAGAUACCCUGGUAGUCCACGCCGUAAACGAUGAGUGCUAAGUGUUAGGGGGUUUCCGCCCCUUAGUGCUGCAGCUAACGCAUUAAGCACUCCGCCUGGGGAGUACGACCGCAAGGUUGAAACUCAAAGGAAUUGACGGGGGCCCGCACAAGCGGUGGAGCAUGUGGUUUAAUUCGAAGCAACGCGAAGAACCUUACCAAAUCUUGACAUCCUUUGACCACUCUAGAGAUAGAGCUUUCCCCUUCGGGGGACAAAGUGACAGGUGGUGCAUGGUUGUCGUCAGCUCGUGUCGUGAGAUGUUGGGUUAAGUCCCGCAACGAGCGCAACCCUUAGACUUAGUUGCCAGCAUUUAUUUGGGCACUCUAGGUUGACUGCCGGUGACAAACCGGAAGAAGGUGGGGAUGACGUCAAAUCAUCAUGCCCCUUAUGAUUUGGGCUACACACGUGCUACAAUGGACAAUACAAAGGGCAGCUAAACCGCGAGGUCAUGCAAAUCCCAUAAAGUUGUUCUCAUUUCAGAUUGUAGUCUGCAACUCGACUACAUGAAGCUGAGAAUCGCUAGUAAUCGUAUAUCAGCAUGCUACGGUGAAUACGUUCCCGGGUCUUGUACACACCGCCCCGUCACACCACGAGAGUUGUGUCACACCCGAAGCCGUGUGGAGUCACCUAUUUAUGGCAGCUAGCCCGUCGAAGUGGGACAAAUGAUUGGGGGAUGAAGUCGUACAGGGAACACCCGAAAA
Molecule: ribosomal RNA, 815 nt
Filed under: Staphylococcus arlettae
Lineage: Bacteria; Bacillati; Bacillota; Bacilli; Caryophanales; Staphylococcaceae
Description: bacterial SSU rRNA
Rfam family: Bacterial small subunit ribosomal RNA
Source: RNAcentral